GACGGAGGAGGCUAGCGUUGUUCUGAAUUACUGGGCGUAAAGCGCGCGCGGGCGGUUAUGCAAGUCAGGGGUGAAAGCCCGAGGCUCAACCUCGGAACGGCCUUUGCGACUGCAUGACUAGAGACCGGGAGAGGAGAGUGGAAUUCCCAGUGUAGAGGUGAAAUUCGUAGAUAUUGGGAAGAACACCAGUGGCGAAGGCGGCUCUCUGGCCCAUUCUUGACGCUGAGGCGCGAAAGCUAGGGUAGCAAACGGG
RNAcentral lists this ribosomal RNA (253 nucleotides) under uncultured bacterium. RNAcentral describes it as "partial 16S ribosomal RNA". It matches the Rfam family "Bacterial small subunit ribosomal RNA", at positions 524 to 776 of the family's 1533-position model. The record is from RNAcentral.